Molecule: ribosomal RNA, 600 nt
Filed under: Rhodococcus pedocola
Lineage: Bacteria; Bacillati; Actinomycetota; Actinomycetes; Mycobacteriales; Nocardiaceae
Description: bacterial SSU rRNA
Rfam family: Bacterial small subunit ribosomal RNA
Source: RNAcentral
GGGUCUAAUACCGGAUAUGACCAGAGGCUGCAUGGCUUUUGGUGGAAAGGUUUACUGGUGCAGGAUGGGCCCGCGGCCUAUCAGCUUGUUGGUGGGGUAAUGGCCUACCAAGGCGACGACGGGUAGCCGACCUGAGAGGGUGACCGGCCACACUGGGACUGAGACACGGCCCAGACUCCUACGGGAGGCAGCAGUGGGGAAUAUUGCACAAUGGGCGAAAGCCUGAUGCAGCGACGCCGCGUGAGGGAUGACGGCCUUCGGGUUGUAAACCUCUUUCAGCAGGGACGAAGCGAAAGUGACGGUACCUGCAGAAGAAGCACCGGCCAACUACGUGCCAGCAGCCGCGGUAAUACGUAGGGUGCGAGCGUUGUCCGGAAUUACUGGGCGUAAAGAGCUCGUAGGCGGUUUGUCGCGUCGUCUGUGAAAACCAGCAGCUCAACUGCUGGCUUGCAGGCGAUACGGGCAGACUUGAGUACUGCAGGGGAGACUGGAAUUCCUGGUGUAGCGGUGAAAUGCGCAGAUAUCAGGAGGAACACCGGUGGCGAAGGCGGGUCUCUGGGCAGUAACUGACGCUGAGGAGCGAAAGCGUGGGUAGCGAAC